CAGCCCGGAGAACCUCUAUACUCAUCCUUGCAUACAUAUACAUUAUCACAUUGACAAUUACAAGUUUAACAUAUAGUAAAUUGAUUGUGUAUUUGAUCGUAUCUCGAAAAGACAAAACUAUAUCAGGUUUACUAUAAAGAGACAUUGCAUUGUGACAGAUUAGUCGCCCGGAAAACUUUUCAUUCUAGCAGAUUUUUUGUUUAUAAUUUACAUAACAGAUUUCAAAUGAUUGAUUUUAAACGAUUAGACAAACUUUUAUGCCUGCGGAAGGCAGUGCCACUUGUGUAGGAACACAGCUUUAAAUGAACGAACCUUAGAAAAGUUUAUAGAGAUGCUACACUCAUACUGUUAUUUUUACAUAGGACUAAUGUUUACUGAGAAGGUUAGUAACAUACAAAUGUUAAAUUUAUAUAAAGAGGUGCAUUGUUCAGAGUAUGCUGUUGAACCCAGUGGACAAUCUACAGUUUCAAAAAGAUCUGUAAAGCUAUUUUUCUAUUGCAUGUAGUCUAAAGGUUUGCUUUGUUUGUAUAAAUGUUUGCUCAAGCAUUGUAAUUAAGAUUGACAGUUGCAAUCAAAAGAUAGGCCGGGCUGCAGCUAGCAUGUUUUUAUUGAUGCUUUUAGAUCUAUCCAAAGAUUAAUACAAACAAAGCAAGCAAGCCAACUAAACCUCUAAACUACAUGCAUAAGGAAAACAGCUCUAAACACACGUUAUUGAUUGCCUUUUCAGAGAGCAUGCAUGUACUGAUUAAGGAAAUACAGAAAUUCAUACAUGUAUUUGAAAUUGUUAUCAGUUCUGCCUUUUUCCUGUAAAACAGAAAUUUAUUGUGUAUGGCCAGGCCUUGAAGUCAUUAAUCUUUGCUCAGUGCUCGGAGCACAAAAAUCAUGUUCGAAACAUAAAAUCAAGCAUUUUGAUUGGUUGAUUUUGGAGUAUGAGUACAAAAAAACUGACUCGAAAGUUUUAUGACUUCAAGGCCAGGUGCAUCUUUAAUCACCCCAUUGAAUGUUUUCUACCUCCCCACUAGAAUGUACACGACCAUUUAUCUUAAUCAUCAAGUGUUCGGAACUGUACAUCAGAUUCUUUGAUUUACAAUCAUAUUUCUUUGACAUUGCCAUAAUAUUCUUUAUUUACUAUUGAAGAGAUAUAUGUUUGCCUACGCCUGUAAAACGAAUGCAUAACACAACAUAUAAACGAUGCUG
This 1197-nucleotide long non-coding RNA is filed under the name Mytilus galloprovincialis (Mediterranean mussel). Lineage: Eukaryota; Metazoa; Mollusca; Bivalvia; Mytilida; Mytilidae. The record is from RNAcentral.